This 2297-nucleotide long non-coding RNA is filed under the name Phaseolus vulgaris (common bean). Its description in RNAcentral is "long non-coding RNA (PVUL_LNC000977)". The record is from RNAcentral. Lineage: Eukaryota; Viridiplantae; Streptophyta; Magnoliopsida; Fabales; Fabaceae.
CAAUUAAUUAAUCAAUUCAGCUAAUUUUAGAAUUUACACUGCAACUCACGUGCAGCCACAACCUCAAAUUGACUUCUUUGUGUAAAUUGAAAACACCAAUUACAAUUCUUGCAGCCCAACAAAUGAAUCAAAGCAAUGUCAACAAAUGUCACGGUCCCACCACAUACACUAACGCGUACCAAUUUAUAGCACCAACAAUUCAACUCCAAGUGUUAUGUCAUUGUGCCAAUUCUUACCAAUUGAAACAAAGAAAAUUCAAGAGCGUGGGUCCUACUUCAACUUGUUAAAGUUUCUUUCCUUUCAAUUUUUUUUUCAAGUGCAGAAAAUUCCAAUUGAAAUGUUAGCUCAAAUUCACCUUUAGUUGCAUGUACUUUUCAUCCUUUUGAAUUCAAAACAAAGCUGAAGCUAUUUUUUUUUCACGUGAACAUUGUUGUUGCACUUUAUAUAAAUGCACCAAUUCUUCCCGCACGAAUUUCGGAAAUCACCAGCUAAGUUCCCAAUUCCAGUUGUACUAAAUCACAGCUGAUGUUUGUGCUCACCAAAUUCUCAUCAAAUUCAUGCUGCCAUUUCAAACAGUUCCUUCCACCAAGAAUAACAAAGAUCAAAUGAAAAUUCAGAGGCACAGUUUCAAUUAGAAACUACAACAGCAAAAACCAGAAAACAAAAAGUUUGAUUCCAAAUAAACUGCACUAAAACAAUUUAUCAUACACUUUCUAGCAGCUGUCUAAAACUGUUAAACCAAAAAAUUAUGCACCCAAAUCUUCACUCAAUCAGAACACCAAUUUAGCUUUUGCACUAGGAAUCACAAAUUCAAAUUCAAGUGAUUAAAGCCAUGAAAUCUGCAGUAAAACUUUCCACCAAAGUUCAUUAAACAACACUGAAACAACCAGCAAAAUAUCAACAACUUCAAAAUUCGCACCGAAACAGCCAAACUGCACCAAUUCUAGAAUUGGAGUCAAAUUAUCAAACAGAUGGUAUACUAAAAAUAAAAAUCUGCACCAAUUCUAAAUCACCAAUGUUGCCUCUGCUUUGGUUCAAAAUAAGAUCAAAUUAAUGCACCAAACAAUUCUUUCCACCACGAACACUAAAAUCUCCCUAAACAAUACUUGUUCCAACUUGAAUUUGUAGCUGCUUCGCUUGGAAAAAUCUUAGGUCACGAACAACACUGCUUCCAACAAUUCCACUAAAUGGAUUUAUGCUGCUUCAGUGAAGAACAACGAAACAGUUCCGAUUAGCACUUUUCCAAUGCGAUUCUAGAUCCAGUGGGGAUGUAAACUUAUGUUUCCGCUGGAAACCACAACAUCUCUGUUUCGCAAUCACUACUCAGUGUUCUCAGAUCACAGGAUUUAAAAAUCGAUUCAGAGAAUGAAGAAUAAUAAGAUUAUAAAUGCAUCGAAAACUCACCUGAAAUGCCACUUCUGUUCACCAAUUUAGGUUACCGGAAACGUAAAAACCUUCAUCCACUGAUUCUGUUCACCGGAAGCCGCAAAACCUCCUUACACCAAUUUCGUUCUCCAAAAACUACAAAACACCUCCGUUCGAGAUUCCUCUAACACCGCACCGCUUCAAUUAGAUUUCACACCGAACAAUUUUUUCGUCAAAAUUUUGUUUCUCAGUUUCGCACCAAACUCAGCUCACAUGUUUUCAAAAUCACAUUAAGAAUGAAGAACAAGAUGAACAAAUUGAAAACGCAUAUGAACGUGAACGAGCAACAAUUUUCGUGAAAUUUUGACAAUAGAAACAGAAUCAGAACUGCUAUUUGCACCACAGAUCCAAUGAGAUCUCACAAACAGAUCCAGAUUACUCUUCACAUCUUGAAAUUUCUUUUUAAACCACGAACAAUUUUUGGAAAAAAUUUAGAGAAUUUUCGAAAAUGAAUUUUGAGAGAAUGAUAAUGGAACCCUAACUCAAAGAAAAUUGCUAAUGAUCUAGUAGCAAUUUAUGAACUCAAAAACGAAAAUCAAAAGCACUCAAGAGCUCUAAUCUAUGAAGAAAUUUGAAAAAAAAUCAAAAAGUUUAACCAAUGAAUUUUGUGACAAUUUUUGGACUAAACAUGACUCCGGACAAAACAUUUAUGUCAAAAUGACUCAAAUAUAAGAAAAUUUCACCAAACAAAUUUGAAGAAAACUCAAAAAGUUCAAAAGCACACAUGAACAUGAACACAAGAACACCUAAAAAUAUAUACAUGAAGUUUCAAGUAAGAACAACUAAUUUGAACGGAACAAAAACACAAAAUCAUGAAAAACAAAAUAUGAAAACAACGCGAAAUUAUGAAAAAAAGUAGAAGAAAAUCUUAC